GUAUUUCUGAUGAGACCCAAACCAGGUCGAAACAGCUGUCCAGUAG
This 46-nucleotide non-coding RNA is filed under the name Echinostoma caproni. Lineage: Eukaryota; Metazoa; Platyhelminthes; Trematoda; Plagiorchiida; Echinostomatidae. The record is from RNAcentral.